RNAcentral lists this ribosomal RNA (643 nucleotides) under uncultured Lachnospiraceae bacterium. Its description in RNAcentral is "bacterial SSU rRNA". It matches the Rfam family "Bacterial small subunit ribosomal RNA", at positions 53 to 707 of the family's 1533-position model. The record is from RNAcentral. Lineage: Bacteria; Bacillati; Bacillota; Clostridia; Lachnospirales; Lachnospiraceae.
ACAUGCAAGUCGAACGGACGAGGAGGAGCUUGCUUCUCCAAGUCAGUGGCGGACGGGUGAGUAACGCGUGAGUAACCUGCCCUUCAGAGGGGGAUAACGUCUGGAAACGGACGCUAAUACCGCAUGACAUAUUUCCAUCGCAUGGUGGAGAUAUCAAAGGAGCAAUCCGCUGAAGGAUGGACUCGCGUCCGAUUAGAUAGUUGGCGGGGUGACGGCCCACCAAGUCGACGAUCGGUAGCCGGACUGAGAGGUUGAACGGCCACAUUGGGACUGAGACACGGCCCAGACUCCUACGGGAGGCAGCAGUGGGGGAUAUUGCACAAUGGGCGAAAGCCUGAUGCAGCAACGCCGCGUGAGGGAAGACGGUUUUCGGAUUGUAAACCUCUGUUCUAAGUGACGAACAAAUGACGGUAGCUUAGGAGAAAGCCCCGGCUAACUACGUGCCAGCAGCCGCGGUAAUACGUAGGGGGCAAGCGUUGUCCGGAAUUACUGGGUGUAAAGGGAGCGCAGGCGGAGAAGCAAGUCAGUGGUGAAAACGAUGGGCUUAACUCAUCGACUGCCAUUGAAACUGUUUCCCUUGAGUGAAGUAGAGGCAGGCGGAAUUCCGAGUGUAGCGGUGAAAUGCGUAGAUAUUCGGAGGAAC